GUAAGCAAAUGUAUUAAUUUUAAGUAGGCCUAUGCUUCUUUAGCCUGGUUAACACCAGACCGAAUCUCAAAUAAGAUAUGGUGUGGGAACUGAGCAACGUGAGAAGCCAUAGCAGGGACGGGGGUAAACUACUUCGUGCAAAUGUAAAACAGUGAGCUCGCUAGAAUUCGGUCUGGUAGUAACCAGGCUAAUGCUUCCUAUGCCUUCAGCUAGAUAGAUAGACAGACAGUCUUAGUCUCAGGUUAUGGAUGAACUCCGGCGGAUCCUCGAUCGAGGAUACCUGAACUGAACUUUUACAACAAGGCACAGUUUUAUGGAGUGUUCAAAAAGGUCAUGAAGCCACCGCUGCUGGACAAAGUGAAGCACUCAAUCGCCAUGAUGAAGGCUUUACCAGAUAUGUUCCCACCACCUGUGGCUACACCAAAGAAGUUAGGACAUGCAAAUGAGGCUAUGCUUCACAUCCUUGUCUGCAGAAGACCCCAACACCUUUCUUCAGGUGAGACCACUCUUCAGCCCUGUCAUGAUUGUCUGUGAAACCAACUGCGUACUGGAACCAUGCCUGUGGUGACCAUGCCUGUGGUGACCUUCACAAAAGAGGACAUCUGUGCCAGCGUGACGAAUCUCAUGGCGUGUUAUUACGCCUUUCACCUCACAUAUCCCAAGUGCAUUGCGACACUCUUCUCUGUGCUGCAGACAGAAGUCCUCUCGGACGCCAUCCAUGACCGGGACAUGACUUCUUCAUAUAAAAAGGCUAUGGCCGAGUGGAAAAGGUUCAUUACUGACUAGGGUUGCACAAUACAAUUUUUUUAUUUCUAGUCCCAAUAACAGAACUGUGUGUAUUGGCCCAUCCGAGAACCGAUUUGAUAGCCUUUAAUAGAUAGGCAGGGCGUUUGUUGCUUAUUAUAAUGAGGUUUGUUAUCUUCCCAUUGGUCUUACAUUUUCACCUUGACCACCAAUGGCCUUUGUUGUUGUUUUUGCAUCCUUUGUUCUGCCCAUAUCAGCCUCUGGAUAUACUGAGUCCUCAAUAAAGAAGUGAAAAGAAAUUAGAUUCUUUCUUUAAUAACCUCUUGACGGUCGCCUAGGAUAGGGGGCGCUACAGCGAUUUUUGAAAAAAAUACGUGCCCAUUUUAAACGGCCUCCUACUCAAACUCAGAAGCUAGGAUAUACAUAUAAUUAAUAGAUGUGGAUAG
RNAcentral lists this long non-coding RNA (1190 nucleotides) under Salmo salar (Atlantic salmon). RNAcentral's name for it is "lncRNA (ENSSSAG00000089247.1)". The record is from RNAcentral. Lineage: Eukaryota; Metazoa; Chordata; Actinopteri; Salmoniformes; Salmonidae.